This 816-nucleotide ribosomal RNA is filed under the name uncultured bacterium. RNAcentral describes it as "bacterial SSU rRNA". It matches the Rfam family "Bacterial small subunit ribosomal RNA", at positions 8 to 812 of the family's 1533-position model. The record is from RNAcentral.
AGAGUUUGAUCCUGGCUCAGAUUGAACGCUAGCGGGAUGCUUUACACAUGCAAGUCGAACGGCAGCACGAGAGAGCUUGCUCUCUUGGUGGCGAGUGGCGGACGGGUGAGUAAUAUAUCGGAACGUGCCCAGUAGCGGGGGAUAACUACUCGAAAGAGUGGCUAAUACCGCAUACGCCCUACGGGGGAAAGGGGGGGAUCGCAAGACCUCUCACUAUUGGAGCGGCCGAUAUCGGAUUAGCUAGUUGGUGGGGUAAAGGCUCACCAAGGCAACGAUCCGUAGCUGGUUUGAGAGGACGACCAGCCACACUGGGACUGAGACACGGCCCAGACUCCUACGGGAGGCAGCAGUGGGGAAUUUUGGACAAUGGGGGAAACCCUGAUCCAGCCAUCCCGCGUGUAUGAUGAAGGCCUUCGGGUUGUAAAGUACUUUUGGCAGAGAAGAAAAGGCAUCCCCUAAUACGGGAUGCUGCUGACGGUAUCUGCAGAAUAAGCACCGGCUAACUACGUGCCAGCAGCCGCGGUAAUACGUAGGGUGCAAGCGUUAAUCGGAAUUACUGGGCGUAAAGCGUGUGUAGGCGGUUCGGAAAGAAAGAUGUGAAAUCCCAGGGCUCAACCUUGGAACUGCAUUUUUAACUGCCGAGCUAGAGUAUGUCAGAGGGGGGUAGAAUUCCACGUGUAGCAGUGAAAUGCGUAGAUAUGUGGAGGAAUACCGAUGGCGAAGGCAGCCCCCUGGGAUAAUACUGACGCUCAGACACGAAAGCGUGGGGAGCAAUACAGGAUUAGAUACCCUGGUAGUCCACGCCCUAAACGAUGU